This 151-nucleotide small nucleolar RNA is filed under the name Nannospalax galili (Upper Galilee mountains blind mole rat). RNAcentral describes it as "Small nucleolar RNA SNORA5 (ENSNGAG00000002691.1)". It matches the Rfam family "Small nucleolar RNA SNORA5". Rfam says of the family: ACA5 is a member of the H/ACA class of snoRNA that guide the sites of modification of uridines to pseudouridines. Lineage: Eukaryota; Metazoa; Chordata; Mammalia; Rodentia; Spalacidae. The record is from RNAcentral.
GGUACCAGUGAAAUACUGUGUGAUUACCUGAUACAUUUUUUUUAAUUAAAAAUAAACUUCUUACUGGCCCAAAAGGCUGCCAUAGAAAUACUGACUCAUGGGCCCGGUGCCCCUUGCCUGGGCUCAGGAAUAAAUUUGGUCACAGACAUCA